CUGAACCAGCCAAGUAGCGUGAAGGAUGACUGCCCUAUGGGUUGUAAACUUCUUUUAUAUGGGAAUAAAGUUUUCCACGUGUGGAAUUUUGUAUGUACCAUAUGAAUAAGGAUCGGCUAACUCCGUGCCAGCAGCCGCGGUAAUACGGAGGAUCCGAGCGUUAUCCGGAUUUAUUGGGUUUAAAGGGAGCGUAGGUGGACUGGUAAGUCAGUUGUGAAAGUUUGCGG
Molecule: ribosomal RNA, 227 nt
Filed under: uncultured bacterium
Lineage: Bacteria
Description: partial 16S ribosomal RNA
Rfam family: Bacterial small subunit ribosomal RNA
Source: RNAcentral